Molecule: transfer RNA, 90 nt
Filed under: Sphingobacteriales bacterium
Lineage: Bacteria; Pseudomonadati; Bacteroidota; Sphingobacteriia; Sphingobacteriales
Description: tRNA-Ser
Rfam family: tRNA
About the family: Transfer RNA (tRNA) molecules are approximately 80 nucleotides in length. Their secondary structure includes four short double-helical elements and three loops (D, anti-codon, and T loops).
Source: RNAcentral
GGAAACGUGUCCGAGUGGCUGAAGGAGCACGCUUGGAAAGCGUGUGUAUGGGAAACUGUACCGUGAGUUCGAAUCUCACCGUUUCCGCCA